AGAGUUUGAUCCUGGCUCAGGAUGACCCCUGGCGGCGUGCCUAAUACAUGCAAGUCGAACGAAGAGCGAAGGAAGCUUGCUUCUUUCAAUCUUAGUGGCGAACGGGUGAGUAAUACAUAAGCAACCUGCCUUAAUGACUGGGAUAACAGAUGGAAACGUCUGCUAAUACCGGAUGAAUUAAUUGAUGGCAUCAUCGAUUAAUAAAAGUUGGGAUACAACACAUUGAGAUGGGCUUAUGGCGCAUUAGCUAGUUGGUGAGAUAAAAGCCCACCAAGGCGAUGAUGCGUAGCCGACCUGAGAGGGUGACCGGCCACACUGGGACUGAGACACGGCCCAGACUCCUACGGGAGGCAGCAGUAGGGAAUUUUCGGCAAUGGGGGAAACCCUGACCGAGCAACGCCGCGUGAGUGAAGAAGGCCUUCGGGUUGUAAAGCUCUGUUGUAAGGGAAGAACGAUAGUGAGAGGGAAUGCUCAUUAUAUGACGGUACCUUACCAGAAGGCCACGGCUGACUACGUGCCAGCAGCCGCGGUAAUACGUAGGUGGCAAGCGUUAUCCGGAAUUAUUGGGCGUAAAGGGAGCGUAGGCGGUUUAUUAAGUUUAUGGUUAAAGUUCGGGGCUCAACCCCGUGAUGCCAUAGAAACUGGUAGACUUGAGUACAGGAGAGGUUAGUGGAAUUCCAUGUGUAGCGGUAAAAUGCGUAGAUAUAUGGAGGAACACCAGUGGCGAAGGCGGCUAACUGGCCUGUAACUGACGCUGAGGCUCGAAAGCGUGGGGAGCAAAUAGGAUUAGAUACCCUAGUAGUCCACGCCGUAAACGAUGGAUACUAAGUGUUGGAAGAAUUCAGUGCUGUAGUUAACGCAAUAAGUAUCCCGCCUGGGGAGUAUGCGCGCAAGCGUAAAACUCAAAGGAAUUGACGGGGGCCCGCACAAGCGGUGGAGUAUGUGGUUUAAUUCGAAGCAACGCGAAGAACCUUACCAGGUCUUGACAUCCAAAGAAUCCUGAUGAAAGUCGGGAGUGCCUUAGGGAGCUUUGAGACAGGUGGUGCAUGGUUGUCGUCAGCUCGUGUCGUGAGAUGUUGGGUUAAGUCCCGCAACGAGCGCAACCCUUGCUAUUAGUUGCUAACAUUGAGUUGAGCACUCUAAUGGGACUGCCCGUGACAAGCGGGAGGAAGGUGGGGAUGACGUCAAAUCAUCAUGCCCUUUAUGAUCUGGGCUACACACGUGCUACAAUGGAUGGUACAGAGAGCAGCGAGACAGUGAUGUGGAGCGAAUCUCAAAAAGCCAUUCUCAGUUCGGAUUGCAGGCUGCAACUCGCCUGCAUGAAGUCGGAAUCGCUAGUAAUCGCGGAUCAGCAUGUCGCGGUGAAUGCGUUCCCGGGCCUUGUACACACCGCCCGUCAAGG
Molecule: ribosomal RNA, 1402 nt
Filed under: uncultured bacterium
Lineage: Bacteria
Description: bacterial SSU rRNA
Rfam family: Bacterial small subunit ribosomal RNA
Source: RNAcentral